RNAcentral lists this ribosomal RNA (1921 nucleotides) under Klebsiella pneumoniae. RNAcentral's name for it is "partial 23S ribosomal RNA". It matches the Rfam family "Bacterial large subunit ribosomal RNA", at positions 1025 to 2925 of the family's 2925-position model. The record is from RNAcentral. Lineage: Bacteria; Pseudomonadati; Pseudomonadota; Gammaproteobacteria; Enterobacterales; Enterobacteriaceae.
ACCCAGACCGCCAGCUAAGGUCCCAAAGUCAUGGUUAAGUGGGAAACGAUGUGGGAAGGCACAGACAGCCAGGAUGUUGGCUUAGAAGCAGCCAUCAUUUAAAGAAAGCGUAAUAGCUCACUGGUCGAGUCGGCCUGCGCGGAAGAUGUAACGGGGCUAAACCAUGCACCGAAGCUGCGGCAGCGACACUAUGUGUUGUUGGGUAGGGGAGCGUUCUGUAAGCCUGCGAAGGUGACCUGUGAGGGUUGCUGGAGGUAUCAGAAGUGCGAAUGCUGACAUAAGUAACGAUAAAGCGGGUGAAAAGCCCGCUCGCCGGAAGACCAAGGGUUCCUGUCCAACGUUAAUCGGGGCAGGGUGAGUCGACCCCUAAGGCGAGGCCGAAAGGCGUAGUCGAUGGGAAACAGGUUAAUAUUCCUGUACUUGGUGUUACUGCGAAGGGGGGACGGAGAAGGCUAUGUUAGCCGGGCGACGGUUGUCCCGGUUUAAGCAUGUAGGCUGGUUAUCCAGGCAAAUCCGGAUAAUCAAGGCUGAGGUGUGAUGACGAGGCACUACGGUGCUGAAGUAACAAAUGCCCUGCUUCCAGGAAAAGCCUCUAAGCAUCAGGUAACAUCAAAUCGUACCCCAAACCGACACAGGUGGUCAGGUAGAGAAUACCAAGGCGCUUGAGAGAACUCGGGUGAAGGAACUAGGCAAAAUGGUGCCGUAACUUCGGGAGAAGGCACGCUGGUGUGUAGGUGAAGUCCCUGCGGAUGGAGCUGAGACCAGUCGAAGAUACCAGCUGGCUGCAACUGUUUAUUAAAAACACAGCACUGUGCAAACACGAAAGUGGACGUAUACGGUGUGACGCCUGCCCGGUGCCGGAAGGUUAAUUGAUGGGGUUAUCCGUAAGGAGAAGCUCUUGAUCGAAGCCCCGGUAAACGGCGGCCGUAACUAUAACGGUCCUAAGGUAGCGAAAUUCCUUGUCGGGUAAGUUCCGACCUGCACGAAUGGCGUAAUGAUGGCCAGGCUGUCUCCACCCGAGACUCAGUGAAAUUGAACUCGCUGUGAAGAUGCAGUGUACCCGCGGCAAGACGGAAAGACCCCGUGAACCUUUACUAUAGCUUGACACUGAACAUUGAGCCUUGAUGUGUAGGAUAGGUGGGAGGCUUUGAAGCGUGGACGCCAGUCUGCGUGGAGCCAACCUUGAAAUACCACCCUUUAAUGUUUGAUGUUCUAACGUUGGCCCCUGACCGGGGUUGCGGACAGUGUCUGGUGGGUAGUUUGACUGGGGCGGUCUCCUCCCAAAGCGUAACGGAGGAGCACGAAGGUUAGCUAAUCCUGGUCGGACAUCAGGAGGUUAGUGCAAUGGCAUAAGCUAGCUUGACUGCGAGCGUGACGGCGCGAGCAGGUGCGAAAGCAGGUCAUAGUGAUCCGGUGGUUCUGAAUGGAAGGGCCAUCGCUCAACGGAUAAAAGGUACUCCGGGGAUAACAGGCUGAUACCGCCCAAGAGUUCAUAUCGACGGCGGUGUUUGGCACCUCGAUGUCGGCUCAUCACAUCCUGGGGCUGAAGUAGGUCCCAAGGGUAUGGCUGUUCGCCAUUUAAAGUGGUACGCGAGCUGGGUUUAGAACGUCGUGAGACAGUUCGGUCCCUAUCUGCCGUGGGCGCUGGAGAAUUGAGGGGGGCUGCUCCUAGUACGAGAGGACCGGAGUGGACGCAUCACUGGUGUUCGGGUUGUCAUGCCAAUGGCACUGCCCGGUAGCUAAAUGCGGAAGAGAUAAGUGCUGAAAGCAUCUAAGCACGAAACUUGCCCCGAGAUGAGUUCUCCCUGAGACUUUAAGUCUCCUGAAGGAACGUUAAAGACGAUGACGUUGAUAGGCCGGGUGUGUAAGCGCAGCGAUGCGUUGAGCUAACCGGUACUAAUGAACCGUGAGGCUUAACCUU